Non-coding RNA from Pelobates cultripes (western spadefoot toad), 224 nucleotides. Lineage: Eukaryota; Metazoa; Chordata; Amphibia; Anura; Pelobatidae. The record is from the annotation of a GenBank genome assembly.
CAUAUGAUUCACUUUUAUACACAUAUACACAAAAUCUUGUUAGGAUAUUUCCUCUGCCUUUUCAGAUCAAUUUGGAUAGGAAUAAGUGAAACUAUCUAACUGUUUUUUGCAGCCAAUAGUAUCCAGACCGAAUGUGUGGGAUCCUAUAUUACGAUAAUACAUUUGUCAGUCUCCUCCCCUCAAUAUGUGACACCCACACACCUUUUCUUUUUAACAAAUCUUUC